UUUUGGAAAACUAGCCUGUAAAGUAGUAGUUUUAUGCUAUUUACUCCGGAUGGAUCCAGAGAUAGAGCAUUCUUUCCUUCACGUACUACUUUUUCUCAAUCAGGACGUACUGAGAAACCAGCAGAUUAAGAGCCAGUUCUUUUGGCUCAAUUGUGAAGAAUUAUUGCUUUGGGAAUCAAAAUUACAAAAGAACUCAUCUCUGCCUCAGGAAUCGUCCAAAAUCAUCUCAGAAUUACAGUGCAAUCUAGAAUCACCUCUCAGUGUCUCUUCUCAUCUAGCCAUUUUCUUCUUCUCCUCUCUGCCUCCCUUCUUCUCCUCCACCCUCCCUGCUCGCAAAGAACGCCGGAAAAUAGGCAUGGCGGUCGGCCACACUGCUGGCCCACGCCGUCGUCCCAUGCCACGUCCGGUCGCCGCCAUAUGCCACGCCCCCCCCCUCCGUUGUUACUGCUGGCAGGAGCAGCCAAAGCUCCUGGAGACAAGGAGCUCACCGGCCUCAAUGGCCUAGUCCGCGGUGGGGGCCGCCGCCACGCGCCCCGCCGUCGGGCUCCGGCUUGGGUCGCCGCGCCGCUGCGCGCCAUCAGGAACCGCCUGGGGCGCCGCCUACCAUGGGGCUUAGCUCGGGUCACCGCGUCGCCGCCCGUCAUGGGGAGCCGCCUGGGGGUCACCGCGUCACCGCCCGCCAUGGGGAGCCACCUGGGGGUCGCCGCCCGCCAUGGGGCCGCCAGGGCUGACCGCCCGCCAUGGGGAGCUGGCGCCCUCGCCAAGCGCAGAGGCGGCCAGUGGCCUGACGGCGUCGUCCAACACGGGCCAGCUGCGAGCGUAGAGAAGCAGGUAAGGCGGAGCAGCGGCCGGGGUUGAGCGCCGGUGAUCAUCGGUGGUGGACGGUGGGUGGCUCGCCGGGCAGAGGAGGCGCCAUCGCGAGGUCUGGAUAGACCUGCGCCAAUGGUUGCGUGAUGUGGCAAGGACCUGAUUGCUUUUUUAUAAACUUACAGGGAUCUGAUUGCUUUUUUAAAUUUAUGUGCAGGCCCACCCCUAACGGACAAACAAACGGUCAACAAUCAGAGCUCUUACAUGUGUGUCCGACCUGUCAUAAUCACGAUUAAUCGUAAAGCAUUUGACGAUUUGGGUUUUUUGAAACAACUGACCGCCCAUUUGGUAGUUAUUUGAGAAAAAUUUAAAACCGGUAGUUUUUUGGAACCCUAACCUGUAAAAUAGUAGUUUUAUGCUAUUUACUCAUCCAUCCGAGACAUUAGGUAAGCAUCAAUCGCUGCUUUCGAGCUUAGCUUAACAUAACAUACUAUUUUGAUAUUUUCUGAUACGUGUUACCGAGCUAACCUGCGGGUAUAUACUGAGCAUUUUUGUGAUGUUGUUUGCUGUCAGGCUGUUGCUGAUGGUGGAGGAAUGCUGCCCAAAGGAUUGUCAUGCUUGAUUUCGACCGUACAAGGAAAUCAAUGGGAAUUAAUGUUGCAUCCAAAUCAGGAAGCAACACUUUACUUGGGAGCACUUGGCGUAGUGGUAAAGCUGCUGCCUUGUGACCAUGAGGUCACGGGUUCAACUCCUACAAAUAGCCUCUUGCAGAAAUGCCGGGAAUGAUUGCGUACUAAAGACCUAAAGUGGUCGGACUCUUUCCCGAACCCUGCGCAAACGGAAAGGGAGCCGUCGAAACCUUGCUGGAGAGGAGUAGCCAUAUUCAGCUGCAGGAUAGUUCAGUUGUGCCUUUAGAUGAGAAAUCAAGAAAAGUUAUUUUGGCAAGUCUCCAUGGAUUGUCAACAAAAGCGCCGUGCUGCCUCGGAUUUGUAUACAUGGAGGAUCUUACAGAAUUCACAACAUAUGAUGGAGAAUACCACCCUACUCACAAGCUUUUGCUGGAUCCAGCCAAUUAUGUGGCAAUUGAAGCCGACCUGAUAUUUGCUUGUCUGGCUGGCUUAAGGCUAUGCAAGAUCAUCCAAGGAAGAGGUCUUUGAUGAUGUGGAGGACCGCAUAGCUGUGGGCAUCCGUGUUAUGGUGAUCACAGGAGACAACAAAGAAACUACUGAGACGACAUGCCAUGAAAUUGGUGUAUUUUCACCUGAUGAAGACAUUAGCUUGAAGAGCUUUACAGGGAGGGGGUUCAUGGCACUUGAGGAUAAAAAGACACUUCUGCAAAAGAAAUGUGGCCUUCUGUUAUCUAGGGCAGAUCCUAGACACAAACAAGAGAUCAUUAGGCUAUUAAAAGAAGACCGUGCAGUUAUUUCUAUGACUGGAGAUGGAGUAAAUGAUGGCCCUGCUCUAAAACUAGCUGGCAUUGGUAUAGCAAUGGGUAUUCCCGGCACUGUGUACAUUCUUACUCACCACACAACCCCACACCGGAGUGAGAU
Triticum aestivum (bread wheat) is the source of this 2357-nucleotide long non-coding RNA. RefSeq lists it as uncharacterized. The record is from RefSeq and is a predicted model, not a curated record. The transcript has 4 exons. NCBI's taxonomy places the organism in Eukaryota, Viridiplantae, Streptophyta, Magnoliopsida, Poales, Poaceae.